This 449-nucleotide ribosomal RNA is filed under the name uncultured bacterium. Its description in RNAcentral is "partial 16S ribosomal RNA". It matches the Rfam family "Bacterial small subunit ribosomal RNA", at positions 29 to 523 of the family's 1533-position model. The record is from RNAcentral.
AGCGAACGCUGGCGGCAGGCCUAACACAUGCAAGUCGAACGAAGCCUUCGGGCUUAGUGGCGGACGGGUGAGUAACACGUGGGAACGUACCAUUUGGUUCGGAACAACUCAGGGAUACUUGAGCUAAUACCGGAUGAGCCCUGAGGGGGAAAGAUUUAUCGCGGAAAGAGCGGCCCGCGUUAGAUUAGCUAGUUGGUGAGGUAAAGGCUCACCAAGGCAACAAUCUAUAGCUGGUCUGAGAGGAUGAUCAGCCACACUGGGACUGAGACACGGCCCAGACUCCUACGGGAGGCAGCAGUGGGGAAUCUUGCGCAAUGGGCGAAAGCCUGACGCAGCCAUGCCGCGUGAAUGAUGAAGGUCUUAGGAAUGUAAAAUUCUUUUACCAGGGACGAUAACGACGGUACCUGGAGAAAAAGCCCCGGCUAACUUCGUGCCAGCCGCCGCCGUAA